This is a long non-coding RNA of Juglans regia (Persian walnut), 536 nucleotides long. RefSeq lists it as uncharacterized. The transcript is spliced from 2 exons. The record is from RefSeq and is a predicted model, not a curated record. Lineage: Eukaryota; Viridiplantae; Streptophyta; Magnoliopsida; Fagales; Juglandaceae.
AUUCUUCAAUCCUCCGUGCUAUCUCCUCUAUCUCUCUCUCGCUCUCGCUCUCGCUCUCGCUCAAAGUCCAGACUCCAAACCCUUUCUCACGAUUCCCUAGCUCUCCAUCUCUUUCUCUCUCUCGCCCAAAGUGUUAAACGAAAACCCUAGCUCUCGAUCUCUCUCUCUUGCCCAAAGUCCAGACCAAAGUCUUCUCUCUUCUUUUCUCUUAUCUGUCUAACUUCUCUCUCUCUGCUCUCUUUAUUCUUUCUGUCUCCUUCUCUCUCUCGACCGAGUGCCGAAACCACAACCAUUGCUGUCGGUGCUAUCAGAGGCCACCAUUCACAGAAGACAUAAGCCUUUUUGCUACUCUCGAUUUCAGAGGGGAUUGAAGCGGAAGCCAAUGGCCCUGAUUAAAAAGUUGUAAUUUUUCUUGAUCAUUGUUAUUCUCAUUAAAGUCCUGUCUAAUGUGAUGCGCUUUGUGAUUAAAUAAUGGUGUUCUGGACUUGGAUCUAAGUUAGUUUUACUUAAUAAUAUUUUGUGUCUUGACGUUGUCA